RNAcentral lists this ribosomal RNA (376 nucleotides) under uncultured Strobilidium. Its description in RNAcentral is "SSU rRNA". It matches the Rfam family "Eukaryotic small subunit ribosomal RNA", at positions 585 to 972 of the family's 1831-position model. Lineage: Eukaryota; Ciliophora; Spirotrichea; Choreotrichida; Strobilidiidae. The record is from RNAcentral.
CCAGCUCCAAUAGCGUAUAUUAAAGUUGUUGCAGUUAAAAAGCUCGUAGUUGGAUUUCUGGUAGGAUAACUUUGCCCUCUUGAUGAGUGCGCAGAGUGAUCCUGCCAUCCUUCUGUUAACCCUUCAGACUUUUCUUAGUUUGUUGGGGGCUCAGAUAUUUUACCUUGAGAAAAUUAGAGUGUUUCAGGCAGGCUAGCGCCGGAAUACAUUAGCAUGGAAUAAUAGAAUAGGACUUUUACCUCUUCUGUUGGUCUGAGGGGUUCAAGUAAUGAUUAAUAGGGAUAGUUGGGGGCAUUAGUACUUAACUGUCAGAGGUGAAAUUCUCGGAUUUGUUAAAGACUAACUUAUGCGAAAGCAUUUGCCAAGGAUGUUUUCA